AUACGUAGGGCGCAAGCGUUGUCCGGAAUUAUUGGGCGUAAAGAGCUCGUAGGCGGUCUGUCGCGUCUGCUGUGAAAACCCGAGGCUCAACCUCGGGCCUGCAGUGGGUACGGGCAGACUAGAGUGCGGUAGGGGAGACUGGAAUUCCUGGUGUAGCGGUGGAAUGCGCAGAUAUCAGGAGGAACACCGAUGGCGAAGGCAGGUCUCUGGGCCGCAACUGACGCUGAGGAGCGAAAGCGUGGGGAGCGAACAGGAUUAGAUACCCUGGUAGUCCACGCCGUAAACGUUGGGCACUAGGUGUGGGGCUCAUUCCACGAGUUCCGUGCCGCAGCAAACGCAUUAAGUGCCCCGCCUGGGGAGUACGGCCGCAAGGCUAAA
RNAcentral lists this ribosomal RNA (378 nucleotides) under uncultured bacterium. Its description in RNAcentral is "bacterial SSU rRNA". It matches the Rfam family "Bacterial small subunit ribosomal RNA", at positions 523 to 898 of the family's 1533-position model. The record is from RNAcentral.